RNAcentral lists this ribosomal RNA (465 nucleotides) under uncultured bacterium. Its description in RNAcentral is "partial 16S ribosomal RNA". It matches the Rfam family "Bacterial small subunit ribosomal RNA", at positions 339 to 795 of the family's 1533-position model. The record is from RNAcentral.
CUACGGGCCGCUCCAGUGAGGAAUUUUGCGCAAUGGGGGGGACCCUGACGCAGCAACGCCGCGUGAGUGAUGAAGGCUUUCGGGUCGUAAAGCUCCGUCAAGUGGGAAGAACCUAUGCAGUGUUAAUAUCACUGUAUACUGACGGUACCACUGAAGGAAGCACCGGCUAACUCCGUGCCAGCAGCCGCGGUAAUACGGGGGGUGCAAGCGUUAUUCGGAAUCAUUGGGCGUAAAGGGCACGUAGGCGGCUUGGUAAGUCAGAUGUGAAAGCCCGGGGCUUAACCCCGGAAGUGCAUUUGAUACUGUCAGGCUUGAGUAUGGGAGAGGGAAGUGGAAUUCCUGGUGUAGAGGUGAAAUUCGUAGAUAUCAGGAGGAACACCGGUGGCGAAGGCGACUUCCUGGACCAAUACUGACGCUGAGGUGCGAAGGCGUGGGUAGCAAACAGGAUUAGAUACCCCUGUAGUC